AAUGUUUUACAGCCCAGUAUAAAAUUGGUGACUGUAGUAUAUUAGCCAUAUCUUUACAGCCCAAUAUGAAAUUGGUGACUGUAGUAUAAUAAAGAUGUCUUUACAGCCCAAUAUGAAAUUGGUGACUGUAGAAUAUUAGCAAAUAUUAUUACAGCCCAAUAUGAAAUUGGUGACUGUAGUAUAAUAAAAAUAUUUUUACAACCCAAUAUGAGUUUGGUGAUUGUAUCUUAUUAGUUGAUGAUUUUACGUCCCAAGAUACAUAUUGGUGAUUGUAGUAACUACUCUUACAACAUAUCAAAAUUUCCAUGACUUAAAAAAAAAUAAAAAAAAAAUACAGGAUAUCAGUGCAGAAGCAGAAGAUAUGGCAAAGGAACAAGAAAAUCAGUAGCAGAUAAGAAAAUCAGUAACGGAUAAGAGAACGUGGCAGGAAAAGCUUAAGCAGAUAUGAGAAGAUAUGAGUUGACAGGAAAUCUGUAAGCUUUUGAAGAAAGUGAGACAGCAGGAAUCUAAAAAAGAUAGAAAAGACUGCACUCAGAAAAUAAUUCAUGUAUCAUUAUUGUAAUACAUUAUUGAAAGGCUAUUGUAUGGCUGUAAUCAAAACCGGGAUCUCUAUAUAAGAGACCUUAUUGUAACAUUGAAAAUCAUCAGUUCUUGAAAUAUAUCUUAAAUUUCUCUACACUUACUCUUCUGAUGGCAAACUAAACCUCUUCUCCUACAAUCUACAACAGAAAAACAUGUUCAUCAAUAAGAUAUCAUAUACAAAUAUUAUCUAUUUGUCAUCAUAAGUUAUAUCAUUUAAAGCAGAGAUGGUGGAUAUCUGUCGAGCAACCUGGUUGCAGAGCCUGUUAGACGGGAGGUCAUAAAAGGGCAUAGCAGAGAUCAGGGACUCCGGUGAGCCAAUCUGUUUAAAUAGUAUGAUUUAUUUUGAUAAAUAAGAUAGGAUUUUUAUAUGAUAUCUAUAAUUCAUGUUAUGCAUGAUAUUGAUGAAAAAUGUUUAGAAGUUAUAGAUUGUAGAUUUUAUUUAAAACAUGAUUGUUUUUGU
This 1042-nucleotide long non-coding RNA is filed under the name Daucus carota (carrot). RNAcentral describes it as "long non-coding RNA (DCAR_LNC003567)". Lineage: Eukaryota; Viridiplantae; Streptophyta; Magnoliopsida; Apiales; Apiaceae. The record is from RNAcentral.